Molecule: non-coding RNA, 1645 nt
Organism: Lactuca sativa (garden lettuce)
Lineage: Eukaryota; Viridiplantae; Streptophyta; Magnoliopsida; Asterales; Asteraceae
Source: RefSeq, a predicted model, not a curated record
AAAAUAAAAAUAAAAAUAUAUUCAUACUUAGCAUAGAUAUACCUCCAAGAUUGGUCAAGUGAUUAGCUAGGGAGGGGUAAUUGUGGGAAUUUAGCAAAGAUAAAAGAGCAUCUUUUUAUUCGGGGAUAUUUUGGGUAUUUUAGUUGCUGGAACAGAUUGCAUAUAAGAAGGUAGGGGAAAAGAGAGUAGGGUAUCUUUUGUAGAAUUUCUGGUCAUUCAACCUUUGGGAGAGAACUAGACUCUCAAGAUUCUAGUAAGCAAUAGGCUUUUUCUGGUGUUAUUUUUUAGUAUUAUCAAUUACAAACAGUGAAGCUUGUUUAUUCUUAAUGUUGUGAUUUAUCUUCUCAUAGCAGACCUUCCGCCCUCUUACGUAAGUGAAGUAUCAAAUAUGGUCAUGGAAGAGGAGAAGAGCAAGGUAACAGGUAAAUCGAAAAGGAAAAAUGUACUCAGUAACGUCUUGCUGUUGUUUUAAUUAGUACCGAACAAUUUACUUUUAGGCAUGUAAUAUUAUGGAUCAAUGUACUGAAUGUAAACGCUACCAGUUGUAAUAUUCCAAUGCUUGGUAAUGUAUGAUGUUAUGUUUCAUGUAUAUUCAUUGUGAUGGUAUUCAAUUGAGUCACAAUAGCCCUCGGACGUUUCCGCCGUCUGGUUCGGGGGUGUGACAGGUUGGUAUCAGAGCUCUAUUUAUAGUGAACUAGCAUAUCUAACCAUACAUUGAUACGCAACUAUAAACCAAAAGAGGGACUAACAUAACUCUGAACAAAACAAGUGAAAUACAACAAUAAAACACCUUUGCUUGCGUUAGGAAUAAGGAACGUAACGCCAAACCAAACAAGAUAAUGCUAGUAUCUCGGUUAAUUCAGGAUUGUUCUUAGUGGUACCAAGGAGUGGAUGUAGCCUGAUCAACUACAUUCUCUCCAAAGUAUAACUAACACGCGUUCUGAUGAGAUCGUCAUGGCUAGGGAACCUAAAAACUAUACCCCUUUAUCACCAAAAAGAGAACGUCUGUUUAGUAUAUAUCAUAGUCGUGGGAGUGACGAUAGUUUAUACUUUCCCCCAGUCGUCAUGGAGGGAGAUCAGCCGGGUAUCCAGUUCCAUCAAGUCAUAGUGGCUCACGGGAUGCUUGAAGAUGAACCAGAAGGGAAUCCAGAGGAAGCACACGACGUCCGACCUGACGAAUACAUAGACACCGACUACGAUUUUGGAGAGACCGACGAUGACGCCGAGGAAGGGCAAGACCGGGACAAGGAUCACAUCCCGUCGUGUGAGAACGAGACGCAACCAGACCACCCCACCCCGCCAAUGAACCCCCCAAGGGAGAACCGUUCCCCCGAAGCUGAGAUCGCCGCACUGCGACAACAGUUGUAUGCUAUGGAGGCUCGGGCAGUGCGAGCUGAGCAUGAGAGGGAUGAGGUUAUUGGAGACAUGAUGGAGAUGGCUCAGUUACUGGCGCAACAUUUCGGCAUAUGACCCUGCCACUACGUAGGAUGCAGAUCAUCGCGAUUAGGGAUAGACUUAUCUUAGUAGGUCAUUAGGAACUAUGCUAUGUACCCCGACUCUAUGUUUAAGUGACUACACUACUCAUAGAGCCGUUAUGCUGUCGAACUAGUGUCACUCAUGUAUGCUCUUACGAGCAAAAUUUUCA